RNAcentral lists this ribosomal RNA (448 nucleotides) under uncultured bacterium. Its description in RNAcentral is "bacterial SSU rRNA". It matches the Rfam family "Bacterial small subunit ribosomal RNA", at positions 328 to 792 of the family's 1533-position model. The record is from RNAcentral.
GCCCCAGACUCCUACGGGAGGCAGCAGUGGGGGAUAUUGCACAAUGGGGGGAACCCUGAUGCAGCGACGCCGCGUGGGUGAAGAAGUCUUUCGGUAUGUAAAGCCCUAUCGGCAGGGAAGAAAUUGGACGGUACCUGACUAAGAAGCCCCGGCUAACUACGUGCCAGCAGCCGCGGUAAUACGUAGGGGGCAAGCGUUAUCCGGAUUCACUGGGUGUAAAGGGAGCGUAGACGGCCAUGCAAGCCUGGAGUGAAAGCCCGGGGCCCAACCCCGGGACUGCUCUGGGAACUGUGCGGCUGGAGUGCGGGAGGGGCAGGCGGAAUUCCUGGUGUAGCGGUGAAAUGCGUAGAUAUCAGGAGGAACACCAGUGGCGAAGGCGGCUUACUGGACAGUAACUGACGUUGAGGCUCGAAAGCGUGGGGAGCAAACAGGAUUAGAUACCCUUGUA